This 273-nucleotide ribosomal RNA is filed under the name Triticum aestivum (bread wheat). Its description in RNAcentral is "partial small subunit ribosomal RNA". Lineage: Eukaryota; Viridiplantae; Streptophyta; Magnoliopsida; Poales; Poaceae. The record is from RNAcentral.
AUGUACGACGGUUCCAAGCCCACCUCGGAGAUGAGGAACUCAGACCUGCGCUGCAUCCGUCCACGUGAACGUGUUCUUCAAGUGCUCCACCCUGGCUGCGAUCUCCUCCUUGCUGAAAGAUGCAACAGCAUUCAGCGCGUGCCUGAACAUCCCAGAGUAACGGGGUACACCGAUGCUUUCAGCGCAUCCCACCAUCUCCUGGACACGCUCCGGGUUGGUGAUGAUUAUCCUCGGUCUUUGGAGGCACAAUUUGGCAAUAUCGCAAUCUCGUAA